ACUUGAAUUUUGGCACUUGAACGACGAAAAUCGGAGUUACGUAGGUCGAGUUAUAAGCAAAACAGUCCAACACACACACACAAUUAUCGAAUCGCUGCCACAGAACAGGGUAAUUACUCGAUCGCUAUUACGAUUCAGUUUCCGGAAUCAAUACAUUCAAAGAAUGUCUAAAUUAGAAAUAAUCAAGGCUAAUCAGUAGGCUUAUACACUGCUCGUUAAAU
This 221-nucleotide long non-coding RNA is filed under the name Helianthus annuus (common sunflower). RNAcentral describes it as "sRNA HanXRQr2_Chr10g0458311". The record is from RNAcentral. Lineage: Eukaryota; Viridiplantae; Streptophyta; Magnoliopsida; Asterales; Asteraceae.